This 376-nucleotide ribosomal RNA is filed under the name uncultured Legionella sp. RNAcentral's name for it is "bacterial SSU rRNA". It matches the Rfam family "Bacterial small subunit ribosomal RNA", at positions 283 to 651 of the family's 1533-position model. Lineage: Bacteria; Pseudomonadati; Pseudomonadota; Gammaproteobacteria; Legionellales; Legionellaceae. The record is from RNAcentral.
GUAGCUGGUCUGAGAGGAUGAUCAGCCACACUGGGACUGAGACACGGCCCAGACUCCUACGGGAGGCAGCAGUGGGGAAUAUUGGACAAUGGGGGCAACCCUGAUCCAGCAAURCCGCGUGUGUGAAGAAGGCCUGAGGGUUGUAAAGCACUUUCAGUGGGGAGGAGGAUUGCUAGGUUAAGAGCUAGGUAAUUGGACGUUACCCACAGAAGAAGCACCGGCUAACUCCGUGCCAGCAGCCGCGGUAAUACGGAGGGUGCGAGCGUUAAUCGGAAUUACUGGGCGUAAAGGGUGCGUAGGUGGUUAGAUAAGUUAGCUGUGAAAUUCCUGGGCUCAACCUGGGACGGUCAGCUAAGACUGUUUGACUCGAGUAUGG